GCAACCUGCCCCGGACUCUGGGAUAACAGUUGGAAACAGCUGCUAAUACCGGAUACGAGCUGCGAAGGCAUCUUCAGCAGCUGGAAAGAAUUUCGGUCUGGGAUGGGCUCACGGCCUAUCAGCUAGUUGGUGAGGUAACGGCUCACCAAGGCGUCGACGGGUAGCCGGCCUGAGAGGGUGACCGGCCACACUGGGACUGAGACACGGCCCAGACUCCUACGGGAGGCAGCAGUGGGGAAUAUUGCACAAUGGGCGCAAGCCUGAUGCAGCAACGCCGCGUGAGGGACGACGGCCUUCGGGUUGUAAACCUCUUUUAGCAGGGAAGAAGCGAAAGUGACGGUACCUGCAGAAAAAGCACCGGCUAACUACGUGCCAGCAGCCGCGGUAAUACGUAGGGUGCAAGCGUUAUCCGGAAUUAUUGGGCGUAAAGAGCUCGUAGGCGGUUUGUCGCGUCUGCUGUGAAAACCCGAGGCUCAACCUCGGGCCUGCAGUGGGUACGGGCAGACUAGAGUGCGGUAGGGGAGAUUGGAAUUCCUGGUGUAGCGGUGGAAUGCGCAGAUAUCAGGAGGAACACCGAUGGCGAAGGCAGAUCUCUGGGCCGUAACUGACGCUGAGGAGCGAAAGGGUGGGGAGCAAACAGGCUUAGAUACCCUGGUAGUCCACCCCGUAAACGUUGGGAACUAGUUGUGGGGUCCAUUCCACGGAUUCCGUGACGCAGCUAACGCAUUAAGUUCCCCGCCUGGGGAGUACGGCCGCAAGGCUAAAACUCAGAGGAAUUGACGGGGACCCGCACAAGCGGCGGAGCAUGCGGAUUAAUUCGAUGCAACGCGAAGAACCUUACCAAGGCUUGACAUAUACGAGAACGGGCCAGAAAUGGUCAACUCUUUGGACACUCGUAAACAGGUGGUGCAUGGUUGUCGUCAGCUCGUGUCGUGAGAUGUUGGGUUAAGUCCCGCAACGAGCGCAACCCUCGUUCUAUGUUGCCAGCACGUAAUGGUGGGGAACUCAUGGGAUACUGCCGGGGUCAACUCGGAGGAAGGGUGGGGAUGACGUCAAAUCAUCAUGCCCCUUAUGUCUUGGGCUUCCCGCAUGCUACAAUGGCCGGUACAAUGG
Molecule: ribosomal RNA, 1113 nt
Filed under: Microbacterium sp.
Lineage: Bacteria; Bacillati; Actinomycetota; Actinomycetes; Micrococcales; Microbacteriaceae
Description: bacterial SSU rRNA
Rfam family: Bacterial small subunit ribosomal RNA
Source: RNAcentral